Molecule: ribosomal RNA, 121 nt
Filed under: Streptococcus dysgalactiae subsp. equisimilis
Lineage: Bacteria; Bacillati; Bacillota; Bacilli; Lactobacillales; Streptococcaceae
Description: partial 23S ribosomal RNA
Rfam family: Bacterial large subunit ribosomal RNA
Source: RNAcentral
AGAUUUCCCAUGAUUUUAUAUCAGUAAGAGCCCUGAGAGAUGAUCAGGUAGAUAGGUUAGAAGUGGAAGUGUAGUGAUACAUGAAGCGGACUAAUACUAAUAGCUCGAGGACUUAUCCGAA